GACGAACGCUGGCGGCGUGCUUAACACAUGCAAGUCGAACGGAAAGGCCCUGCUUUUGUGGGGUGCUCGAGUGGCGAACGGGUGAGUAACACGUGAGUAACCUGACCUUGACUUUGGGAUAACUUCAGGAAACUGGGGCUAAUACCGGAUCGGAGCUCCUGCUGCAUGGUGGGGGUUGGAAAGUUUCGGCGGUUGGGGAUGGACUCGCGGCUUAUCAGCUUGUUGGUGGGGUAGUGGCUUACCAAGGCUUUGACGGGUAGCCGGCCUUGGAGGGUGACCGGCCACAGUGGGACUGGGAUACGGCCCAGACUCCUACGGGGGGCAGCUGUGGGGAAUAUUGCACAAUGGGCGGAGGCCGGAUGCAGCAACGCCGCGUGGGGGAUGACGGCCUUCGGGUUGUAAACCGCUUUCGCCUGUGACGAAGCGUGAGUGACGGUAAUGGGGAAAGAAGCACCGGCUAACUAGGU
This 467-nucleotide ribosomal RNA is filed under the name uncultured bacterium. Its description in RNAcentral is "partial 16S ribosomal RNA". It matches the Rfam family "Bacterial small subunit ribosomal RNA", at positions 28 to 506 of the family's 1533-position model. The record is from RNAcentral.